This 425-nucleotide ribosomal RNA is filed under the name uncultured bacterium. RNAcentral describes it as "partial 16S ribosomal RNA". It matches the Rfam family "Bacterial small subunit ribosomal RNA", at positions 354 to 796 of the family's 1533-position model. The record is from RNAcentral.
GUGGGGAAUCUUGCGCAAUGGGCGAAAGCCUGACGCAGCCAUGCCGCGUGAAUGAUGAAGGUCUUAGGAUUGUAAAAUUCUUUCACCGGGGACGAUAAUGACGGUACCCGGAGAAGAAGCUCCGGCUAACUUCGUGCCAGCAGCCGCGGUAAUACGAAGGGGGCUAGCGUUGCUCGGAAUUACUGGGCGUAAAGGGCGCGUAGGCGGACAGCUUAGUCAGAGGUGAAAGCCCAGGGCUCAACCUUGGAAUUGCCUUUGAUACUGGCUGUCUGGAGUUUGGGAGAGGUGAGUGGAACUCCGGGUGUAGAGGUGAAAUUCGUAGAUAUUCGGAAGAACACCAGUGGCGAAGGCGACUCACUGGCCCAAUACUGACGCUGAGGCGCGAAAGCGUGGGGAGCAAACAGGAUUAGAUACCCUGGUAGUCC